Molecule: transfer RNA, 97 nt
Filed under: Trichoderma reesei QM6a
Lineage: Eukaryota; Fungi; Ascomycota; Sordariomycetes; Hypocreales; Hypocreaceae
Also listed under: 1 other name
Rfam family: tRNA
About the family: Transfer RNA (tRNA) molecules are approximately 80 nucleotides in length. Their secondary structure includes four short double-helical elements and three loops (D, anti-codon, and T loops).
Source: Rfam by way of RNAcentral
GACACUUUGGCCGAGUGGUUAAGGCGAUGCCCUGCUAUCCUUCAGGUUAUCAUAGGCAUUGUGUUCGCACGCGCAGGUUCGAAUCCUGCAGGUGUCG